This 424-nucleotide ribosomal RNA is filed under the name uncultured bacterium. Its description in RNAcentral is "partial 16S ribosomal RNA". It matches the Rfam family "Bacterial small subunit ribosomal RNA", at positions 360 to 776 of the family's 1533-position model. The record is from RNAcentral.
AAUAUUCGACAAUGGGCGAAAGCCUGAUCCAGCCAUGCCGCGUGUGUGAAGAAGGUCUNCGGAUUNUNACGCACUUUAAGUUGGGNGGAAGGGGCUGAAGCUAAUCCCUUCAAUCUUUGACGUUACCAACAGAAUAAGCACCGGCUAUCUCUGUUCCAGCCGCCUCGGUAAUACAGAGGGUGCAAGCGGAAAUCGGAAUUACUGGGUGUCACACGCGCGUUGGAGGUUCAGUAAGAUGGAAGAGAAAGCCCCGGGGUUAGCCUGGGAGUUGCUUUCAAAACAGACGAGCUAGAGUAAGGUAGUGGGUGGUGGCAUUUCCUGUGUAGCGGUAAAAUGCGUAGAUAUAGGUAGGAACAUCAGUGGCGAAGGCGACUACCUGGACUGAUACUGAUACUGAGGUGCGAAAGCGUGGGGAGCAAACAGG